GGACCUCCAAUCAAGCAGGGCUACC
Molecule: ribosomal RNA, 25 nt
Filed under: Vischeria magna
Lineage: Eukaryota; Eustigmatophyceae; Eustigmatales; Chlorobotryaceae
Description: partial 26S ribosomal RNA
Source: RNAcentral